This 119-nucleotide ribosomal RNA is filed under the name Pteropus alecto (black flying fox). Lineage: Eukaryota; Metazoa; Chordata; Mammalia; Chiroptera; Pteropodidae. The record is from RNAcentral.
CUCUAUGGCCAUGCUACCCUGAACAAGUCCAAUCCCAUCUGAUCUCAGAAGCUAAGCAGGAUCGGGCCUGGUUAGUACUUGGACAGGAGACCACCUAGGAAGACCAGGUACUAUAGGAG